GACGAACGCUGGCGGCGUGCCUAAUACAUGCAAGUAGAACGCACAGUUUAUACCGUAGCUUGCUACACCAUAGACUGUGAGUUGCGAACGGGUGAGUAACGCGUAGGUAACCUGCCUGGUAGCGGGGGAUAACUAUUGGAAACGAUAGCUAAUACCGCAUAAUAUUGAUUAUUGCAUGAUAAUUGAUUGAAAGAUGCUAUUGCAUCACUACCAGAUGGACCUGCGUUGUAUUAGCUAGUAGGUGAGGUAACGGCUCACCUAGGCGACGAUACAUAGCCGACCUGAGAGGGGGAUCGGCCACACUGGGACUGAGACACGGCCCAGACUCCUACGGGAGGCAGCAGGAGGGAAUCUUCGGCAAUGGACGAAAGGCUGACCGAGCAACGCCGCGUGAGUGAAGAAGGUUUUCGGAUCGUAAAGCUCUGUUGUAAGAGAAGAACGGGUGUGAGAGUGGAAAGUUCACAAUGUGACGGUAGCUUACCAGAAAGAGACGGCUAACUACGUG
RNAcentral lists this ribosomal RNA (505 nucleotides) under uncultured bacterium. RNAcentral's name for it is "partial 16S ribosomal RNA". It matches the Rfam family "Bacterial small subunit ribosomal RNA", at positions 28 to 507 of the family's 1533-position model. The record is from RNAcentral.